Molecule: long non-coding RNA, 376 nt
Filed under: Ictidomys tridecemlineatus (thirteen-lined ground squirrel)
Lineage: Eukaryota; Metazoa; Chordata; Mammalia; Rodentia; Sciuridae
Description: lncRNA (ENSSTOG00000031942.1)
Source: RNAcentral
CUUCCUCUGAUUGUGGGUGAUGGAGGUCCUUUCUGUUUCUUCACAGUUUAAACCAGCGCAGUGACCCUCUGCUCAUCCCUGAUGUCUCAUAAGAAGAUGACUUUAAGCCGACCACGUCGACUGUUCUUUAGAGUCAUGGUUGACUUUCAGCUCCUCUCCCAGGGUGCUGCAGGGAGAGGCAGAGGGCCAGGCCAGAGCUCCCGGACCGCCUGCUCAGUUACCAACAAACUGUGGUGAAAAGGCCUGUCUGGGGCUGAUUUUGUAGCUGGGCAACUGCUUCUGCACAACAGAUUGCUCCAAGCUGGAUCCCCCCUCAGUGGGCCUCUCAGUUGGUUCCUGGUAUGUAACCCGCCAUCUCAAAACGUGAUGGCUUGAA